CUGAUUUCUGCCUAGGUAGGUUGAGUCUUUCGGGACUCCUUACCAAAGCGAAUACACCACUUGUGCACUAUAAAUGUCUUUUGGGUCAUUUUGGGAAGUCAUCUUAUAGAUGAUAACCAAGGGGCCCAGCUUUUUAUAAACCAAUUAAAUUUUUGUCUGAAAUAAAUCUAGUAAUAGAAA
This 180-nucleotide unclassified non-coding RNA is filed under the name soil metagenome. Its description in RNAcentral is "partial internal transcribed spacer 1". The record is from RNAcentral.